GAUGAACGCUGGCGGCGUGCCUAAUACAUGCAAGUCGAGCGAACAGACGAGGAGCUUGCUCCUUUGAUGUUAGCGGCGGACGGGUGAGUAACACGUAGGUAACCUACCUAUAAGACUGGGAUAACUUCGGGAAACCGGAGCUAAUACCGGAUAAUAUUUCGAACCGCAUGGUUCGAUAGUGAAAGAUGGCUUUGCUAUCACUUAUAGAUGGACCUGCGCCGUAUUAGCUAGUUGGUAAGGUAACGGCUAACCAAGGCAACGAUACGUAGCCGACCUGAGAGGGUGAUCGGCCACACUGGAACUGAGACACGGUCCAGACUCCUACGGGAGGCAGCAGUAGGGAAUCUUCCGCAAUGGGCGAAAGCCUGACGGAGCAACGCCGCGUGAGUGAUGAAGGUCUUCGGAUCGUAAAACUCUGUUAUUAGGGAAGAACAAACGUGUAAGUAACUGUGCACGUCUUGACGGUACCUAAUCAGAAAGCCACGGCUAACUACGUG
RNAcentral lists this ribosomal RNA (497 nucleotides) under uncultured bacterium. RNAcentral describes it as "partial 16S ribosomal RNA". It matches the Rfam family "Bacterial small subunit ribosomal RNA", at positions 28 to 507 of the family's 1533-position model. The record is from RNAcentral.